UUGAAGAGAAUAUUUUAGAGGUCACAAAAGUGGUUUCUACCUUGUUUAAAUGCCAAGUUUCUUUUCUUUGUCCUGUCCUCUAAAAGGCCCUAUAUAGGCCUUGCAAUCUGUCUUUGUAUUCUGUGGUGAUUGAUUAUAUUUUUAAUGUACAAGAUGGUACGAUUUGUAGGGGAAGGGAAAUGUACUCAUAAUUUGAUUUGAUGAUG
RNAcentral lists this unclassified non-coding RNA (206 nucleotides) under Hevea brasiliensis (rubber tree). Lineage: Eukaryota; Viridiplantae; Streptophyta; Magnoliopsida; Malpighiales; Euphorbiaceae. The record is from RNAcentral.